AAAGGAAGCUCAAGUGGUGGCAAAUUGGAAAGGGCCUAAAGCGUUCGUAGCCGGUUUGAUAAGUCUCUGGUGAAAUCCCGCAGCUUAACUGUGGGACUUGCUGGAGAUACUAUUAGACUUGAGGUCGGGAGAGGUUAGGGGUACUCCCAGGGUAGGGGUGAAAUCCUAUAAUCCUGGGAGGACCACCUGUGGCGAAGGCGCCUAACUGGAACGAACCUGACUGUGAGUAACGAAAGCCAGGGGCGCGAACCG
This 252-nucleotide ribosomal RNA is filed under the name uncultured prokaryote. Its description in RNAcentral is "partial 16S rRNA". It matches the Rfam family "Archaeal small subunit ribosomal RNA", at positions 475 to 726 of the family's 1478-position model. The record is from RNAcentral.